This 1214-nucleotide ribosomal RNA is filed under the name Tachinisca cyaneiventris. RNAcentral describes it as "partial 16S ribosomal RNA". The record is from RNAcentral. Lineage: Eukaryota; Metazoa; Arthropoda; Insecta; Diptera; Tephritidae.
GCAAAUCAAGAUAAAUUGAUUAAUAUUUAUUUAUUUAUUUAUUUUUUAAAUAAUUUAAUUUAUUAAAAAUAAUUAUUUAUUUUGUUGUUUUAGUAAAGUUUAUUGAAAAAAUAAUUAUUAUUAUAGUGUAUUAUGUAAUGUGAAUGAUUAUUGAAAUAUGUUGAAAAAUUUUUAUUUUAUAAGAAGAUUUAUUUUAUUGUACCUUGUGUAUCAGGGUGUAUUAAAUAAGAAAUAAUUAUUUAUUGUUCUCGAUUUUAUAAGAGUUAAUUAUUUAUUAAAGUUAACGUGUUAUAGUUAUUUUAUAUAAAUAAUUGGAAAUUAUAUGUUAUUCGUUUAUAAAGGUAUCUAGUUUUUUUAGAAAUGAAUUUAAUUCAUAAAUUUUUAAGUUUUAGUUUUAUUUAAUAAGUUAAAACUUUAUAAAUUUAAAUAUUUUAAGGGAUAAGCUUUAGAAUAAAUUAUUAAAAAUAUAUGUAUAUAUUUAGUUAAAUGUAUGUUUAGAAUUAGCAAUCAUUUAUAAAUUUGUUAUAAAUUAUUAAUUUUAUAAUUUAUUAUUUAUUGGUAUUUUAAUUAUUUAUAAAAAUGAGAUUUUUAAUUUUUUAUAAUGUGUAGUAAUGAUAUAAUUAGUAUAUUUUAUGUUUUGGUAAUUUUUAUUGGAAAGUUUAUAUAAAGAACUCGGCAAAUUUAAUAUUCGCCUGUUUAACAAAAACAUGUCCUUUUGAGUUAUUUUUAAAGUCUAACCUGCCCAAUGAAUUUAUAUUUUAAUGGCCGCAGUAAUUUAACUGUGCAAAGGUAGCAUAAUCAGUAGUCUUUUAAUUGAAGGCUGGAAUGAACGGUUGGACGAAGUAUUAACUGUUUCAUAUGAAUUUAUUAUAGAAUUUUAUUUUUUAGUAAAAAAGCUAAAAUUUUGUUAAAAGACGAGAAGACCCUAUAAAUCUUUAUAAUUAUUAAUUAUCUAAUUUUUUUGAUGAGGUUUAUUUUUUUAUUAAUAAUUAUUUUAUUGGGGUGAUAUUAAAAUUUAAUUAACUUUUAAUUGUUGUAAUUCAUUUAUUUAUGUUUUAAUGAUCCAUUAAUAGUGAUUAAAAGAGUAAGUUACUUUAGGGAUAACAGCGUAAUUUUUUUGGAGAGUUCUUAUCGAUAAUAAAGUUUGCGACCUCGAUGUUGGAUUAAGAAAAAUUUUAGGUGUAGUAGCUUAAUUAUUAAGUCUGUUCGACUUU